GGGGGCGAAAUGGCUUCGACGGGGAUAAAGAAGCUUUGGCUGCAUACCGAGCUUCCUACCAGCUCGUAAAACCGGUGGGAACCUAAAAUAAUCGCAGACGAUUAUGAAUACGCUUUAGCCGCUUAAGGCUAACGCUCUGCCGGAUUUUCCCUGCAAAUCCUGCGAGAGCGUCGCUAGCAGGGUAACCGGCUCUCAUUUCCUGAUACCGGGUCGGUGAAAUUUUUUCAGGAUAGCCUUUCAAAUAUCCCGCCUGAAGGAGACUUGAAUGGGCGAAUUUCAAAGUUCAGGAUAAGUAUGUAGAUGCCUGAGUGGAAUGUUUCCGGACGCGGGUUCGACUCCCGCCGCCUCCACCA
RNAcentral lists this transfer-messenger RNA (353 nucleotides) under Desulfobacterales. Its description in RNAcentral is "UBA2156 sp011049715 Standard tmRNA". It matches the Rfam family "transfer-messenger RNA". Rfam says of the family: Bacterial tmRNA, also known as 10Sa RNA or SsrA, is named for its dual tRNA and mRNA-like properties. Its role is to liberate the mRNA from a stalled ribosome. To accomplish this part of the tmRNA is used as a reading frame that ends in a translation stop signal. Lineage: Bacteria; Pseudomonadati; Thermodesulfobacteriota; Desulfobacteria. RNAcentral also lists the same sequence under 1 other name. The record is from RNAcentral.